Molecule: long non-coding RNA, 707 nt
Filed under: Homo sapiens (human)
Lineage: Eukaryota; Metazoa; Chordata; Mammalia; Primates; Hominidae
Description: non-protein coding lnc-FAM204A-3:1
Source: RNAcentral
GGUGAAAUACAGAUGAAAUCCAAACCAAAAAAGCCUUUUCUCUUGGGUCCUCAGCGACUCUCGUCAGCGCAUUCAAUGUCUGAUUUAUCUGGGUCCCAUAUGUCUUCUGAGAAACUGAAGGCUGGCACCAUAGGUCAAACACAUCUUCUCGGACACCAGUUAGAUUCCUUUGGAACAGUUCCAGAAAGUGGAAGUCUCAAAUCUCCACACAGAAGAACAUUAAGCUUUGAUACUUCUAAAAUGAACCAACCUGACAGCAUUGUGGAUGAAGGUGAAUUGUGUUUCGGAAGACAAAAUGACCCAUUUACAAAUGUGACUGCUUCAUUACCCCAAAAAUUUGCAACACUGCCAAGGAAGAAAAAUCCAUUUGAAGAAAGCAGCGAAACAUGGGACAGCAGCAUGAAUUUAUUUUCAAAACCAAUUGAAAUAAGAAAAGAAAAUAAAAGAGAGAAAAGGGAGAAAGUUAGCCUGUUUGAAAGAGUGACUGGAAAAAAAGAUAGCAGAAGAUCUGAUAAACUUAACAAUGGGGGAUCUGAUAGCCCUUGUGACUUGAAAUCACCUAAUGCAUUUAGUGAAAAUCGCCAGGACUAUUUUGAUUAUGAGUCAACCAAUCCAUUUACAGCAAAAUUCAGGGCUUCAAAUAUAAUGCCAUCUUCAAGGUAAGCUUAAUAUGGGGGAAGUUCUACUAUUUGGGAAAAUCUUGUACU